UUUGUGUUAAAAUGGAAAAUAUCUAUCAUCUAGUUGACGUUUUUCUACAGUUAAAAUGGCUAAAUAUUUUCUUCGGCAUAUUGGAAAGAAGACAUUUUUGCGAAAUUUUUAGAAGCUUCAUGCUAUCAAAAUUAAGAAAACUCUGCCAUUUUGUCAACUGAUAGUCCUACACUUAACACCUUUGCAACUCAGUGGAUAUUUUUCAUUCGAUUGUGAGCUUGUGAAUUUUCAGUUUUUUCAAUCAUAAUUUAGUGUUAUAAGCUGAUUAUAUUUAAUAUUUAUCUGAAUAUCUUGAGAUUGGUACAUUUCCUGGUGGUUAAAAUAUACAAUUUAUUUCAUCUUGAUGUGAUGUUUAUUUCAUUAUUCCUCAUCCAAUAAAUCGAAAGAUUUCUUGUCAAAAUUUGUCUGGUAUGCAGAGUAAAAUAAAUUGGGACAAAAUAUCACAUUCUUAUGCUUUGCUUUCAAUCGCCGCUGUUGGUUUGCCUAUUGCUCCUGUUUAACGAUCAGUCUGUUGUUCGAUCUAUUGUUUAAAGUGUGUGAACAAGUAAACUGUC
Molecule: long non-coding RNA, 554 nt
Organism: Musca domestica (house fly)
Lineage: Eukaryota; Metazoa; Arthropoda; Insecta; Diptera; Muscidae
Exons: 3
Source: RefSeq, a predicted model, not a curated record